UUGUCAUCUACAUUUGUCUUGAUGUGUACUAAUACUGAGAUUUGGUAUUGCACAAGUAGGUAUUGUAAUCCCUUGUUUUUUAUAGUUGCUGCUAUGUUAAAAGUUUGUUCUUCCUUCUAUUUCAAGUCCAGUAGCUUUGGUUUGUCUUGCAACAUAUUCCCUUUCCAGAAUUGAUAUUGGUGUCUCCUCCUCUCCCCAUAUGAUUAAGAAUGGGGAAGAAAAGACUGUUUUUAUUUAUAAACACUGGAGCGUGCAGCAGAUGAAAAAGUAUAAAGGAGUUUCAAACAGAAUUUGGUGCUUGUACCCUGGAAGCAGACAUCUGUAAACUCGCAGGAAACAUUAUUGUUUUAAUUAGAUCUUACUGCACUUAGGUCACAACAACCCCAUGCAUCAGUACAGGCUUGUAUGACUGGGAAGCUGCACAGAAGAAAAGGAUCUGGAGGUAUUAGUUGACAGGUGGCUGAACAAGAGCCAGCAAUGUGCCCAGGUGGCCAAGAAGGCCAAUGUCAUCCUGGCUUGUAUCAGAAACAGUGUAGUCACUGGGACUGGGAGAGGUGAUCAUCCUUCUGUACUUGGCACUGGUGAGGCCGUACCUUCAGUACUGCAUUUGUUUUGGAACCCUCACUACAAGAGAGAUGCUGAAACCCUAGUGCAUUUCUAAAGGGCAACAAAACUAGUGAAGGGUCUGGAACACUAGUCUUAUGAGGAACAGCUGGGAUUGGGGUUUGAGUCUGGAGAAGAAGAGGCUCAGGAGAGAUCUUAUCGCUCUAUACAACUACCUGAAAGGAGGCGGUAAUGUGGUGGGGAUAAGUCUCUUCUCUCUGGUAAUUAGUAAUAUGACAAGAAGAAUUGGCAAUAAAUUUGUGGCAGGAGAGGUUCAGGCUAUAUAUUAUGAAAAAAAAUCAUUCUCUGAAAGAGUGAUCAAACAUUGGAAUAGGCUGAUCAGGGAAGAGGUAGAGUCACUGUCACUGAAGGCUUUCAAGAAAGGGGUAGAUGUGGCACAUAGGGAUGUGGUUUAGUAGGCACAGUGGUGAUGGUUUGACAGUUGGACAUGAUGAUCUUAGAGGUCUUUUCCAACCUUAACAAUUCUAUCAUUCUAUCUCCCCUUCAUAAUGUCCAUUUAUAGGUUAGGUUCCACUCCCUGGGAGCUCUUCUUUGAAUCAUGUCAUUGUGAAUUAGAAAGUAGACAUCAUAUUCCAUUAGGAGAGUAACUACUAGCUCUCUAAAACAAGAGAAUGGUAGUUGAACUGGUCAAAUCCUGAAUGCUUUUGUACAGCUGACAUAAUGAAAGCUGAGGCAAAUUCCUUAAAUUGAGAUGCAUGCAGGAAUCUUAAAAAGGAGCCAGGCAAUAGAAGUCACUGGACAAAGAUGAAGGAUCCUUGGGGAACAGUCACUGGUUUUACAUGUUACAGAGACAGCAUGGUAUGCUUAGAAAGGAUAAUUAUAAGGAAACACCUGGUGUCUAUAAGUGCCUCUUCUCACAUUUUUGGUGUCUUGUUUGGUUAAGCCCUGUGUAAAAUUGCAAAAUGGAAGUAUAGAAUGAUUCGAUUUUAUUCUACACUUGGAUAUGCCUGGUAAAUUUACCCCAAGGCAUGUGCUAUUUGUUUGGUUGUCUCCUCAUAAGACCAUAAACAAUGGAAAUUACUGUGCAUUUUUAGUGCUGGAUUUGUUUUUGUAUUCCAUAUAAACACAUGCGAGACUGCUGUUGUUGCCAAUUCUACUUUUUUUUCCUGACUGGUUUAACAAUAUUCCUGCUAGUGGAUACUAUAUCUGCAUGCUUCUUGGUAACUGAGUACAGUUACAGCAGAGGAAUUAGUUACAUUAGCUCCCUACUAUUUGUAAAUGUACAUUACUUUUUCCAUCCUUCACAGCCUACAAAGCAAUUCCUACCAGCAAAGUUACUUUAUAUAUUAUGCUUGCUUAUUUAUCUUAACUUUCAUCAGCAAGGUAGCCUGUUCAGUUCUCCACAUAGAAGGUGCCUUCGUAAUCUGAGAAUAAUGAAUCCAGGCUUCUUUUCCUUCCAGUUUCACUGAAGUGUAGGUGGUCAGCAGAACUUGGAAGGGUCCUUUCCACUUCUCUUGCAGUGGUUUGGAUGUCCAGGAUUUGGCAUACACCCAGUCUCCUGGUAGGAAUGGAUGCAUGGUAACCAAUCCUGGCUUAUCUAUUCUCACUGGCUCAGUUCUCUUUGAUCUUCCAGGCACCUCCCCUGCCCAUAUCAAAGGCACCGCUGCAGCUUCACUUUCAGGUGAAAUACCUUUCUUUUCUGGCUCGACUUCCUUUAACAAUAACACUUCAGUUUGGAC
This 2303-nucleotide long non-coding RNA is filed under the name Gallus gallus (chicken). Lineage: Eukaryota; Metazoa; Chordata; Aves; Galliformes; Phasianidae. The record is from RNAcentral.